Molecule: ribosomal RNA, 491 nt
Filed under: uncultured bacterium
Lineage: Bacteria
Description: partial 16S ribosomal RNA
Rfam family: Bacterial small subunit ribosomal RNA
Source: RNAcentral
GAUGAACGCUGGCUACAGGCUUAACACAUGCAAGUCGAGGGGAAACGACGGGGAAGCUUGCUUCCCCGGGCGUCGACCGGCGCACGGGUGAGUAACGCGUAUCCAAACUGCCUCUGACUGAGGGAUAACCCGUCGAAAGUCGGCCUAAUACCUCAUGGCAUCGUCUGCGGGCAUCCAACGACGAUUAAAGAUUUCAUCGGUCAGGGAUGGGGAUGCGUCUGAUUAGCUUGUUGGCGGGGUAACGGCCCACCAAGGCUACGAUCAGUAGGGGUUCUGAGAGGAAGGUCCCCCACAUUGGAACUGAGACACGGUCCAAACUCCUACGGGAGGCAGCAGUGAGGAAUAUUGGUCAAUGGGCGGGAGCCUGAACCAGCCAAGUAGCGUGCAGGAUGACGGCCCUAUGGGUUGUAAACUGCUUUUAUGCGGGGAUAAAGUGAGGGACGUGUCCUUCAUUGCAGGUACCGCAUGAAUAAGGACCGGCUAAUUCCGUG